This 403-nucleotide ribosomal RNA is filed under the name bacterium. RNAcentral describes it as "partial 16S ribosomal RNA". It matches the Rfam family "Bacterial small subunit ribosomal RNA", at positions 355 to 776 of the family's 1533-position model. RNAcentral also lists the same sequence under 2 other names. The record is from RNAcentral.
UGGGGAAUAUUGCACAAUGGAGGGAACUCUGAUGCAGCGACGCCGCGUGAACGAAGAAGGCUUUCGAGUCGUAAAGUUCUUUUAUAUGGGAAGAUAAUGACGGUACCAUAAGAAAAAGCCCCGGCUAACUACGUGCCAGCAGCCGCGGUAAUACGUAGGGGGCUAGCGUUGUCCGGAAUCACUGGGCGUAAAGGGUUCGCAGGCGGAAAUGCAAGUCAGGUGUAAAAGGCAGUAGCUUAACUACUGUAAGCAUUUGAAACUGCAUAUCUUGAGAAGAGUAGAGGUAAGUGGAAUUUUUAGUGUAGCGGUGAAAUGCAUAGAUAUUAAAAAGAAUACCGGUGGCGAAGGCGACUUACUGGGCUCAUUCUGACGCUGAGGAACGAAAGCGUGGGUAGCAAACAGG